GCUUAAUACCUAGGCCCAGCUGGCUGGGGUCCAGACUUGUUCAAGCAACUCCCCAAUUAGGCCAAUUUACAAAUCUAGCCCAUCUCAUGUGAUCCCUAUUCAGAUAAUCUGGAGAGAACAUACCAUACUCCCAACUCACAUAAAUUACUGAAUAUAAAAUUUACAAAGAUACUCUAACCCAUAGCUAUUAAUUAUAGUAAUCGAAUUUAAGCAUUAUUACAACACAUUUCAUAUUGAUUUUAUACAAAACAACUCAUUAACAAACAAUCCAUAAAUCUAAGUUACAGAACAUCUUAUAUAUGGCUUCUGUUAUAUCAAAACAAUGCUCAACAUGGUUCUGAGCUCUUUCAUACAACCCUUCAAAUAGGUCUCAAUUUACAAAGGCAGCUACAGAGUUGUUUUUGCAAAUCAGCAUUUUGGUUCUAGCCCAAAUACUUCCAGAUCAUUCCUUUUCUUGUUACAACUCCACAUACAAAACAAAAAGUUUCAUUAGGAAGAGGGGUUGCUAGCACAAUAUUGCAACAGAGUAAUAAAACAGUAGAUAGUUCUAAAAUGGUCAAAAUCAUAACUCAUGAUGCAAGCACAAGCAUGACACAAAAAAAUUCACAUAUCAUUUUAACAAAACAGAAUAAUCUGAAAGAGAAGCAGUUCUAUGGCACCGUUCAUUGAAUAACAAAAGAAAAAACCUGAAACAAGUUCAAAGCUAAUAGGCUGGAGCAAUAGACAUAACACUAAUCAUGAACAAAAGCUAUAUCUCAUUUAUAAAUAAUAACAUGAAUGAUCCUAGAUGAAUAAAUUACAUACCUAUAACAGCAAAACCAAAGGGAAACAAAAAUGAAACUCUGGCUGAAGCUGGAGAGGAAAUAGCAGCAAGAAACAAUCAACACAACAGGAAAUCAGCCAAAAACCAAAGAGAUAACAACUGACUUGAGUGCCCAGAAUCAGAAUAAACAAUACUAGGGUGAACCAGUAGGGCAAUUUUUAAACAAAAACUGAGGUUGACAAGAAAAUGCAGGGAGCUUUUUCUUUUUUCUUCUGUGUAUUCAGAGGAUUUUUUAGGUGAAUAUGCUAAUGAAUGUGUGUGUGAGUGAGUGGUGAUCUAUUCCUUUUAUAGAAUGCACAAAGAUAAGCAUAAAAAGAGGAAUAUUCUACCCUAAAAUUCUGAAUGUCAGAUAGUACAAUAUCUUUUAAAAGAUUUGGUACAAUUGUCUGUCCUUUUUACCAAAAUUCAGCAUUUUCAUACUAAAAAUAGGGGCAGUUGUCCAAUACUAGAACCUUCUGAUAUUUUUCCUCAUUUUAAUUUCCAAAUUUACCUUUUUAAGUUCUUGUUAUUGCCAUUUUACCCCAAUCUGACCUAAUUUCAGUCGUUUGAUUACAAAUUAACCUCUUCUGGAACCUCCUAGAAACAUCUAGGCAAUUCUAAACUUGGAUUUCCUGAUUUGAUUUUUCAAUUAAACCCCUUAAACCUUUGUUAUUACCUUUCAACUCUUUCAACCAUUCAAAACAUAAAAAUCAAUCAACUGAAACUUAGUCAAAGCAGCCUAGCUAAAGCAAAUAUCCUGAUUUAAAACCUAGGCUAGUAAUUGAAUCAGAGCAUUUAUCUAAUUAGCCCUAUAAAUCCAAACAAGCCUGAAUUCCCAAAACAAAACAAAAACAACAGCAAAAAGAAAAAACAGAACAGUGAUGCAACAAAACCUAAUAGUUAACCUAAUUAAUCUAAACUUGAUUAAAUUAAACAAAUCAUGCAAUUAAACUAAUUACAAGUAAUCAAACUAAUUUACUUUAACCAAACAGUUUAACAUGCUCGAAAAAUAUUUUAAGUUAACCUAAACAGUGAGUUCUAAACCAAACAUUAAUUAGUCUAAAAUCAAAUGACCUUAAUUAAACAUAACACUCAAACUCAUGCACAAUCAGAAAAAGAAGAAAGAAAGAACAAGAGAAAGAAAAAGAGGGAGAAAGAAUAGAAAAUAUACCUAGCUGGCUUGAAUGAACUCCGGCAAAUCCGAAAAGCUCCGAAAUAGAUCAAAAAUAACGUUAAUCAAUCGUCCUCAUUGAGAACGAUCAACUAACGUUGGUUUCGUUCCAAAUCGAGUCUUGAAAACUCGAAGGAAAAUAGAAAAAUUGGAAAGGAGGGUAAGCUAGGGUUUCUGUCCUUUUUUUAGAUCUAGAAUUCGAGCAAUUUAGUGAGGAAUUUUGGGGAACUAAAGGUGGAUUAGUGAAGAGGGGAGGUUGAGGAUUAUCUAGUUAGGUUUUGGGGUGGUUUGGUGGUGGUCCGCCGCCGUGAGGCGAUUUUCGGGCGGCGGAAGACGAUGGAGCCGGUGAGGGGUUCAAAGGCAUGUUUUGAGUCUCUAAAUGAGAGGAAGGAGAAUGAGACGGAAU
RNAcentral lists this long non-coding RNA (2379 nucleotides) under Nicotiana tabacum (common tobacco). Its description in RNAcentral is "long non-coding RNA (NTAB_LNC000716)". Lineage: Eukaryota; Viridiplantae; Streptophyta; Magnoliopsida; Solanales; Solanaceae. The record is from RNAcentral.